Molecule: non-coding RNA, 48 nt
Organism: Schistosoma rodhaini
Lineage: Eukaryota; Metazoa; Platyhelminthes; Trematoda; Strigeidida; Schistosomatidae
Source: Rfam
AUCCAGCUGACGAGUCCCGAAAUGGACGAAAAGCGCAUCAAACUGGAU